RNAcentral lists this ribosomal RNA (459 nucleotides) under uncultured bacterium. RNAcentral's name for it is "partial 16S ribosomal RNA". It matches the Rfam family "Bacterial small subunit ribosomal RNA", at positions 338 to 795 of the family's 1533-position model. The record is from RNAcentral.
CCUACGGGGGGCAGCAGUGAGGAAUAUUGGUCAAUGGGCGGAAGCCUGAACCAGCCAAGUAGCGUGAGGGAUGACGGCCCUACGGGUCGUAAACCUCUUUUGCACGGGGAUAACACCCUCCACUUGUGGCGGUCUGCAGGUACCGUGCGAAUAAGGAUCGGCUAACUCCGUGCCAGCAGCCGCGGUAAUACGGAAGGUCCGAGCGUUAUCCGGAUUUAUUGGGCUUAAAGGGGGCGUAGGCGGGCGUUAAAGUCAGUGGUAAAAUUGCGGGGCUCAACCGCGCCCCGCAGUUGAAACUGGACGCCUUGAGUACACAACAGGCAGGCGGAAUGCGUGGUGUAGCGGUGAAAUGCAUAGAUAUCACGAGGAACCCCGAUUGCGAAGGCAGCCUGCCGGGGUGCGACUGACGCUGAGGCUCGAAGGUGUGGGUAUCAAACAGGAUUAGAUACCCUUGUAGUC